AAUAGACUUGAGGGCGAGGUA
This 21-nucleotide unclassified non-coding RNA is filed under the name Mus musculus (house mouse). RNAcentral describes it as "oocyte_clustered_small_RNA13943". The record is from RNAcentral. Lineage: Eukaryota; Metazoa; Chordata; Mammalia; Rodentia; Muridae.